GUUCCAUUUUUUUUUUUUUUUUUUUUUUUUCUUUCCGGCCUCUGGAGAAUGUUUGGACAUACGGAUUUGCAGAUUGUCAAUUUGCAACAAAAUCUCUGUUUUGAAGGGUUUGAACAUGCUACAGUCCUAGUUUUGAAAACCUGCAGAUUUUGUCAAAUUUGCAACAUAGCUCUGCUUUGAAGGGUUUGAUCAUACUGCCGUUCUAGUUUUUGAAAACCUGCUGUAAAAUUGCAUGACGUCUGAAGAGAUUCUAGUACCUUGGUUUUGUCAAAAUUGUAUCUAUCCUAUUGAGUUGCUUAAAUUUUUGUAUAAUGAUGAGACAUGUUCUCAAUGCAGAAACAACAACAGCAAGUGAAGGUUGUACCCAAGCAGAGGUCUCAAACAUUAGACUCACGAUUUGCAAACAUGAAGGAGCAAAGGAUGAGGGUCUUGUCUCAGCAGAAUAACGGGCCAAGAAGAAAUGGAGGAGGCCAGACUGUGGUGCCUUGGGCAAGAGGUCGUUUUGGCAAUUGAUAUCUGCCCCGAUCUGGAUUUGGGGCCGACCACGUGGAGAAAUGCUUGUACUUAUAAUUUUUUUCGCUCGUUUUGAUGUUUAACUAGGAUGGUCCAAAAAGGUGUACUUCAACAAUAGUCUUACGAUAAUAUCUUGCAGUUUGCGUAUUGUCUUUCAUAUUGAAUGUUAUUUCUUUAGUUCCUCUCUCUGUCUCAUUCGAUUCAGCAAUAAAUCUCUUUUAUGUAUUAGAUUUGUGCGGCCAUUUGGUGGAUUGUGAGGAUUAGAUUUGGCCAUUUCUAAUUAAAUGCCUGAAAUUUGUGUGUGUGAGAGAGAGAGAGAGAGAGAGAGAUGGUCGUGUGAAAAUUAAGACUUUAUUGAAUUGCUUUAUGUGACUUUCGUCCAUGCAUGGAGUCAUCUGUACUUGGAUUUUGUGUUAAUAGGAUAGAAAUUUAUCCUUUGAUUUAGCACAGAGCUAGAAGAAAAAAU
RNAcentral lists this long non-coding RNA (979 nucleotides) under Olea europaea (common olive). Its description in RNAcentral is "long non-coding RNA (OEUR_LNC006353)". The record is from RNAcentral. Lineage: Eukaryota; Viridiplantae; Streptophyta; Magnoliopsida; Lamiales; Oleaceae.